RNAcentral lists this unclassified non-coding RNA (381 nucleotides) under uncultured bacterium. Its description in RNAcentral is "contains 16S-23S intergenic spacer region". The record is from RNAcentral.
UCUCCGCUUGCGCGGGCAGUCUUUUUAGAGUCCCCAGCUUGACCUGUUGGCAACUAAAAAUAAGGGUUGCGCUCGUUGCGGGACUUAACCCAACACCUCACGGCACGAGCUGACGACGGCCAUGCAGCACCUGUGCAUGGACUCCGAAGAGGGCCUGCCGUCUCUGGCAGGUUUCCCAUGCACGUCUAGCCUAGGUAAGGUUCUUCGCGUUGCGUCGAAUUAAACCACAUGCUCCACCGCUUGUGCGGGCCCCCGUCAAUUCCUUUGAGUUUUAGCCUUGCGGCCGUACUCCCCAGGCGGGGCACUUAAUGCGUUAGCUACGGCGCGGAAAACGUGGAAUGUCCCCCACACCUAGUGCCCAACGUUUACGGCAUGGACUAC